AGAGCAAAUCAGCUUAUCGCUAUUUAUAGAGGAAAGUCUGGACACCAAAGAGCAACAUAGCGGGUAACGCCCGUCCGCCACAAGGCGAGGACAAGUGCAACAGAAAGCAAGUACAGUACGGCUGUAGUGAAAUCAGGUAAACUCUAUGUGGUGCAACGCCAUGUAAACCAGCUUUUGAGGGUAGCUCGCCCGAUGCUGGAGGGUAGGCGGUUUGAGUUUGUAAGUAAUUGCAAAUCAAGAUAAAUGAUAAGCAUCUUGCUUUACUAAGUAAGAAACAGAAUCCGGCUUAUGAUUUGCUCUUUUU
This 304-nucleotide RNase P RNA is filed under the name Capnocytophaga sp. RNAcentral describes it as "RNase P RNA component class A". It matches the Rfam family "Bacterial RNase P class A". Rfam says of the family: Ribonuclease P (RNase P) is a ubiquitous endoribonuclease, found in archaea, bacteria and eukarya as well as chloroplasts and mitochondria. Lineage: Bacteria; Pseudomonadati; Bacteroidota; Flavobacteriia; Flavobacteriales; Flavobacteriaceae. The record is from RNAcentral.